This 558-nucleotide long non-coding RNA is filed under the name Cricetulus griseus (Chinese hamster). RNAcentral's name for it is "lncRNA (ENSCGRG00015034309.1)". The record is from RNAcentral. Lineage: Eukaryota; Metazoa; Chordata; Mammalia; Rodentia; Cricetidae.
CACCGCCGCACCUGCGGGCUCUCGCCCCGGCGUCUGCGGGACCCGAGGGCUCUGAGCGCGCUGCCGCCCUCCCGCGCCGCCCUCGCACACGCAGAUCCCACUUUUAAAGAAUCCGAAGCGGUGCAGCCCAUCGACACCGAGCGCAGCCGGUUGUGCUUGUUCUCUCCCCGUCUGCAGUUGAGCCCGGACCCUGGAAUAGAAAGACAGUUCUCCGUUGGACUGGCAGAAAGGGAAGGCAGACUCCUCGGUUCCCGAGGAGAGCGGAGCGGCUGCUCUAUUGUUUCCAAAUGGAUCACAUGUCAUAAGUUGAAACAUGGAUCUAGAGAAAGCCUUCAAGACAUAGGUAAACUCUGACAUUUUAUAAGACUAUUCCCUCUGGAAAUAAGACUAAUAACUGGUAAACAGGACCUUGUAAAGUUAAAAUGCCUCUACAUGGCAGGCAAAACAGUGACCAGAAUGCAGAGGCAGCCUAGAGAUUGAGAGAAAAUAUUUGUUACCUCUACAUGUAACAGGGGAUUUUUUUUUGGUUUUUUGAAAAGGGUUUCUCUGUGUAGCUUU